AUUGAACGCUGGCGGCAGGCCUAACACAUGCAAGUCGAACGAGCGGCGGACGGGUGAGUAAUGUAUGGGAAACUGCCUGAUGGAGGGGGAUAACUACUGGAAACGGUAGCUAAUACCGCAUACUAUCGGAUGUGCCCAGAUGGGAUUAGCUAGUAGGUGGGGUAAAGGCUCACCUAGGCGACGAUCUCUAGCUGGUCUGAGAGGAUGACCAGCCACACUGGAACGGAGGCACGGUCCAGACUCCAACGGGAGGCAGCAGUGGGGAAUAUUGCACAAUGGGCGCAAGCCUGAUGCAGCCAUGCCGCGUGUAUGAAGAAGGCCUUCGGGUUGUAAAGUACUUUCAGCGGGGAGGCGUUACCCGCAGAAGAAGCACCGGCUAACUCCGUGCCAGCAGCCGCGGUAAUUC
This 406-nucleotide ribosomal RNA is filed under the name uncultured bacterium. RNAcentral's name for it is "partial 16S ribosomal RNA". It matches the Rfam family "Bacterial small subunit ribosomal RNA", at positions 30 to 526 of the family's 1533-position model. The record is from RNAcentral.